GACGAACGCUGGCGGCGUGCUUAACACAUGCAAGUCGAACGGAAAGGCCCUGCUUUUGUGGGGUGCUCGAGUGGCGAACGGGUGAGUAACACGUGAGUAACCUGCCCCUGACUUUGGGAUAACUUCAGGCAACUGGGGCUAAUACCGGAUAGGAGCUCCUGCUGCAUGGUGGGGGUUGGAAAGUUUCGGCGGUUGGGGAUGGACUCGCGGCCUAUCAGCUUGUUGGUGGGGUAGUGGCUUACCAAGGCUUUGACGGGUAGCCGGCCUGAGAGGGUGACCGGCCACAUUGGGACGGGGAUAAGGCCCAGACUACUACGGGAGGCAGCGGUGGGGAAUGGUGCACAGUGGGCGGAAGCCUGGUGCAGCAACGCCACGUGCGGGAUGACGGCCUUAGGGUUGUAAACCGCUUUCGCCUGUCAGGAGGCGUGAGUGACGGUAAUGGGUAAAGAAGCACCGGCUAACUACGUG
This 468-nucleotide ribosomal RNA is filed under the name uncultured bacterium. RNAcentral's name for it is "partial 16S ribosomal RNA". It matches the Rfam family "Bacterial small subunit ribosomal RNA", at positions 28 to 507 of the family's 1533-position model. The record is from RNAcentral.